UGGGGAAUAUUGGACAAUGGGCGAAAGCCUGAUCCAGCCAUGCCGCGUGAGUGACGAAGGCCUUAGGGUUGUAAAACUCUUUCGUCGGGGACGAUAAUGACGGUACCCGAAGAAGAAGCUCCGGCUAACUUCGUGCCAGCAGCCGCGGUAAUACGAAGGGAGCUAGCGUUGUUCGGAAUCAUUGGGCGUAAAGGGCGUGUAGGCGGUAUGUUAAGUCAUGUGUGAAAUCCCUCGGCUCAACCGGGGAACGACGCAUGAAACUAGCAAGCUAGAGUACCAAAGAGGGAUGUAGAAUUCCAGGUGUAGCGGUGAAAUGCGUAGAUAUCUGGAGGAAUACCGGUGGCGAAGGCGGCAUCCUGGACCAUUACUGACGCUGAGGCGCGAAAGCUAGGGGAGCAAACGGGAUUAGAUACCCUUGUAGUCCCUGAGCGGGCUGGCAAGGCGCAU
Molecule: ribosomal RNA, 447 nt
Filed under: uncultured bacterium
Lineage: Bacteria
Description: bacterial SSU rRNA
Rfam family: Bacterial small subunit ribosomal RNA
Source: RNAcentral